CCCUUAGAUGUUCUGGGCUGCACGCGCGCUACACUGAUGCGUUCAACGAGUGUAUAACCUUGUCCGAUAGGAUUGGGUAAUCUUUUGAACACGCAUCGUGAUGGGGAUAGAUUAUUGCAAUUAUUAAUCUUCAACGAGGAAUUCCUAGUAAUGAUGAAUCAUCAGUUCAUCGUGAUUACGUCCCUGCCCUUUGUACACACCGCCCGUCGCUCCUACCGAUGAGCAAUCCGGUGAAUAAUUUGGACUGGCUGAUUUUGGGGUUCGCUCCUUGGUCGGCUGGAAAAUCUAGUGAACCUUAUUGCUUAGAGGAAGGAGAAGUCGUAACA
This 326-nucleotide ribosomal RNA is filed under the name uncultured eukaryote. Its description in RNAcentral is "partial 18S ribosomal RNA". It matches the Rfam family "Eukaryotic small subunit ribosomal RNA", at positions 1470 to 1796 of the family's 1831-position model. The record is from RNAcentral.